Mauremys reevesii (Reeves's turtle) is the source of this 575-nucleotide long non-coding RNA. RefSeq lists it as uncharacterized. The record is from RefSeq and is a predicted model, not a curated record. NCBI's taxonomy places the organism in Eukaryota, Metazoa, Chordata, Testudines, Geoemydidae. The transcript has 3 exons.
GCACAAUGAAAACCCCCGCUGCUUCUUUCAAGCACUAAGACACAACUAUGCCUGCUUAUCUGGGGUUCACAGCUUCCAAAAUACAUUGAGGUCAUGGGAAUUCACAUGCUUGGAGAAAUCAGCUUCCAUGGAAAUGCAAGUGUCUUCCAGGAUCCCCCAUCUCCGCUUGCUCUGGGAGACCUCCCAUGGCGUUGCCACAAGAAAAGGUGAUGGCGGCAUUCGCUGGGUGUUGUGAAGACACAAGCUCACAAGGAGAACUCCAAGCAGGGAGGACGUGACUAACGCUGUGGGGCCUUGCAGGAACAUUUAACGAACACAGCAACUACUGGAGGAAAAGAACAACCCUGAUAUCUGGUGACAGACAACCACAGGUUUCGGUUGGCUUUAACAUGUGUACCGGCGGGGCUGCAGAGUCCUAUUAGGAGAAGGCCUUGAUCCGUACAGAGCACGCUCACUGCUUCCCACCGCUCUGAGGACACAGCCUAUAAACUUGGCAUCAGAACAGGGACCUUUAAGGAGUUUUUAAAAGCCAUGACGUCCUUUGCUGAAAUAAACACUGACAUCCUCAACAUAAA